Molecule: non-coding RNA, 271 nt
Organism: Danio rerio (zebrafish)
Lineage: Eukaryota; Metazoa; Chordata; Actinopteri; Cypriniformes; Danionidae
Source: Ensembl
GUUUAGCAUCAUAGGUUCACUAUACACAGUCUCUUGUACAGUACAGCUCUUAACAGACUCCCAAAAAUUUUGUGAAGAGUUACAUUCAGAAUUGUGACCAUGACUGUGGGAAAGAAGGGGGGCGGCCUAGUUAUGGUGUAGUUGAUCCACCUGGAGAUGGUGAGACGCCUUCAGAAACCAGCUCUGAUAACCAAAACAUCAGGAAGAUGUACAUUUCCUUGAUGAUCCAGCUUUCUGUCACAGUUUCCUUCAUGGUUAUUUGCAUUUACUG